Molecule: ribosomal RNA, 253 nt
Filed under: uncultured bacterium
Lineage: Bacteria
Description: partial 16S ribosomal RNA
Rfam family: Bacterial small subunit ribosomal RNA
Source: RNAcentral
UACGUAGGGUGCGAGCGUUGCCCGGAUUUAUUGGGCGUAAAGGGCGCGUAGGCGGCUACGCACGUCCGUUGUGAAAUCGCUCGGCUCAACUGGGCGGGGUCAGCGGAUACGGCGUAGCUGGAGCAAGCUAGGGGGCAAUGGAAUUCCCGGUGUAGUGGUGGAAUGCGUAGAUAUCGGGAGGAACACCAGUGGCGAAGGCGACUUCCUGGCCUGUUCUUGACGCUGAGGCGCGAAAGCUAGGGGAGCAAACGGG